Non-coding RNA from Poecilia reticulata (guppy), 734 nucleotides. Lineage: Eukaryota; Metazoa; Chordata; Actinopteri; Cyprinodontiformes; Poeciliidae. The record is from RefSeq and is a predicted model, not a curated record.
GAAUGCGUUAAAAUGGAAUCAAUGACUCUUGACUUUUUAACGCUAUAACACUAAAGGAGUUAAUUCACUGACUCCGCCCCCAGAACCACAGGUUCCCACCGAAGAGACAGAAGCCAACAGAACAAUUUGCUAUCCACAUGUCUGAGUUGGCCCUACGACAGACUGGCGACCUGUCCAGGGUGAACCCCGCCCCUCGCCCGGAACGUUAGCUGGACAUAGGCACCAGCACCUCCCGACCCCCCACAGGGUGUAAAGAAAAUGGAUGGAUGUCUGAGUUGUUCACCAAACUUUUUCCACCAGCAGAUGGAGAGCGUGUUUUCCGCUCCCCGCUGUGGACUUCUGCUAACAGCGGGGUGGAGUUGUUGGGAUGCGAACUUUUCUGAAAACUACUCCCUUCAUUCUUGACUUUCACAAACUCAUCGGCAGCCUGGAGUAAAGACUCCUCAGCGUCUUCCAGGAAAAACGGGCACCUCUCUGGAAGAUGAGGGUCUUCAUCUAGCAGCUUUAGGACUGUGGAGUCCUGUCAGGGCCCAGGAGCCGGAGUUUGGAGAUGUGUGCACGGAGGGCAGCUGCUACCCCGCCACGGGUGACCUGCUGAUCGGCAGGGCGCACAAACUCGCCGCCUCCUCCACCUGCGGCCUCCAGGAGCYCAAGCGCUUCUGCAUUGUCGGACACCUGGAAGUAAUAAGUCUCUUAUUUAAAUUCAUGCACCUUAUAAAACGACACAAGACAUG